GGUAAUACGGAGGAUCCAAGCGUUAUCCGGAUUUAUUGGGUUUAAAGGGUGCGUAGGCGGUCCUAUAAGUCAGUGGUGAAAGACGGCAGCUUAACUGUCGCAGUGCCUUUGAUACUGUAGGACUUGAAUCUAUUUGAAGUGGGCGGAAUAAGACAAGUAGCGGUGAAAUGCAUAGAUAUGUCUUAGAACUCCGAUUGCGAAGGCAGCUCACUAAGUUAGUAUUGACGCUGAUGCACGAAAGCGUGGGGAUCAAACAGGAUUA
RNAcentral lists this ribosomal RNA (262 nucleotides) under Sphingobacterium faecium. RNAcentral describes it as "partial 16S ribosomal RNA". It matches the Rfam family "Bacterial small subunit ribosomal RNA", at positions 519 to 780 of the family's 1533-position model. The record is from RNAcentral. Lineage: Bacteria; Pseudomonadati; Bacteroidota; Sphingobacteriia; Sphingobacteriales; Sphingobacteriaceae.